AGGGGGCGCGCUGAUAUUGGAACGUUUGUAUAACGAAAAGUAGGAAAACGUGUACGGUCCUUAUUUCCGGUUGCGGAGUGUUAGCGGUUUGGGCUUCCAGUUAGCGUUCAAGUCAAAAACCUGGGCACUGUGGUUACGUCUUAUUGUUUUGAAUGAAACCCAUCCUACUGCAGGGCAUGAACGGUCCACCACAACGGAGAAGGAGACCAUAAAAAAUCCAGUGGCCAACAUGUGGUACUCAGUACCUGCAACGGACACACGGGAGCUGUGAGGUGCAUCGACCGUGACUGUAUCCUUUGAUGCCAUUUAGCUCGGUAUGCUGCCGUGUCUUCACCAGGGAUGUCAUAAGUUGAUAUCACUAAUAAUUAAUAUGAAGGCCCCUAACAUUUAGUAGCAUCAGAAAAUAUAACAAAUGUGAAGGUGAACUCAAACAAUAAACAAGGGAAGACUGGCAUACUGCAACAAUGUUAUGACAUUAAAAGUUAUGUUAUCGUGCAACAGCACAGUGUUGUGAAACCAAUAAAAGCAUAAUUGUAAUAUUGUGAUUAAUUGUA
This is a long non-coding RNA of Cynoglossus semilaevis (tongue sole), 554 nucleotides long. RefSeq lists it as uncharacterized. Lineage: Eukaryota; Metazoa; Chordata; Actinopteri; Pleuronectiformes; Cynoglossidae. The record is from RefSeq and is a predicted model, not a curated record. The transcript is spliced from 3 exons.